AACUGAGUCUUAGUUCCUUCAUCUAUAAAAAACGGGAUACGGAGAAGAUUAGCGUGGCCCCUGCGCAAGGAUGACAUGCAAAUUCAUGAAGUGUUCCAUAUUUUU
Small nuclear RNA from Aethalodelphis obliquidens (Pacific white-sided dolphin), 105 nucleotides. NCBI's taxonomy places the organism in Eukaryota, Metazoa, Chordata, Mammalia, Artiodactyla, Delphinidae. The record is from RefSeq and is a predicted model, not a curated record.